RNAcentral lists this unclassified non-coding RNA (225 nucleotides) under plant metagenome. Its description in RNAcentral is "partial contains small subunit ribosomal RNA, internal transcribed spacer 1, and 5.8S ribosomal RNA". The record is from RNAcentral.
UUUCCGUAGGUGAACCUGCGGAAGGAUCAUUAGUGAAUUGAAAAUGUUAGCGGACUUCUUCGGAGUCCUUAGCAUCAAACCAUAUCCAUAAUACUCGUGAACUGUAAGGUUGUCUUGAAAACGAAAGUGAUUAUAGCGCCUGUCCAUUUUUUACAAACAUUAAAGUAACAAACGAAGACUUAUAAAAAUUUAAUAACACUUUCAACAACGGAUCUCUUGGCUCUC